GACGAACGCUGGCGGCGUGCUUAACACAUGCAAGUCGAACGGUGAAGCGCCUUCCUUUUUGGUGGGUGUGGAUGAGUGGCGAACGGGUGAGUAACACGUGAGUAACCUGCCCCCUUCUUCUGGAUAACCGCAUGAAAGUGUGGCUAAUACGGGAUAUUCUGGGUCUGUCGCAUGAUGGGUCUGGGCAAGAUAUUGUUUCGGUGGGGGAUGGGCUCGCGGCCUAUCAGCUUGUUGGUGGGGUGAUGGCCUACCAAGGCGGUGACGGGUAGCCGGCCUGAGAGGGUGGACGGUCACACUGGGACUGAGACACGGCCCAGACUCCUACGGGAGGCAGCAGUGGGGAAUAUUGCACAAUGGGCGCAAGCCUGAUGCAGCGACGCCGCGUGAGGGAUGGAGGCCUUCGGGUUGUGAACCUCUUUCGCCAGUGAAGCAGGCCUGCCUCGUUUGUGGGUGGGUUGACGGUAGCUGGAUAAGAAGCGCCGGCUAACUACGUG
This 494-nucleotide ribosomal RNA is filed under the name uncultured bacterium. RNAcentral's name for it is "partial 16S ribosomal RNA". It matches the Rfam family "Bacterial small subunit ribosomal RNA", at positions 28 to 507 of the family's 1533-position model. The record is from RNAcentral.